Molecule: long non-coding RNA, 509 nt
Organism: Thunnus maccoyii (southern bluefin tuna)
Lineage: Eukaryota; Metazoa; Chordata; Actinopteri; Scombriformes; Scombridae
Exons: 3
Source: RefSeq, a predicted model, not a curated record
UUUUCAACAUAAGGCAUACUUUAUAAUGGGAUUGAUCUCAUGACUUUUCAUCUAGCACCGUGUGAUUGACAGUUAUGGUUUUGAGGGAAAUAUUGACAACUAUUGGAUGGAUUGCCGUGAAAUGUGCUACAGAUAUUAAAGAUAGGAGUGGUGGAGAGAGUGUAUAAUGGCCCCACUCUGCUCUGUGACAGUGCUCUGAAAGCUUCAGUGCCAUCGGACAUGAACAAAGAUCCCGCGACCUCAGGAUGUUCAGAGCAGCCUACUGUAUCCGGGACUGGGACUCUUUGGUUUGCUUUGGUGGUCUGUCUCUGCUUGGUAGGGGGUUUUGUCCUGCAUUAACCUCCCAACCUAAUCUCUGCAGGAGCUGGGUCUGGAAGGAAGACUUUGAUGAUGUUUGUGUUUCAUUAUAUGUGCGAGUGCUGAUACAGUAUCGUGGUAAAAAGCCACUGACAUAAUCCAGAGGAGGCUCACUCACCUUUCACCAGGAUGCUAUAAAGCGGUGGCAGCAA